AUUGAACGCUGGCGGCAUGCCUUACACAUGCAAGUCGAACGGUAACAGGUCUUCGGACGCUGACGAGUGGCGAACGGGUGAGUAAUGCAUCGGAACGUGCCCAGUCGUGGGGGAUAACUACUCGAAAGAGUAGCUAAUACCGCAUACGAUCUGAGGAUGAAAGCGGGGGACCUUCGGGCCUCGCGCGAUUGGAGCGGCCGAUGGCAGAUUAGGUAGUUGGUGGGAUAAAAGCUUACCAAGCCGACGAUCUGUAGCUGGUCUGAGAGGACGACCAGCCACACUGGGACUGAGACACGGCCCAGACUCCUACGGGAGGCAGCAGUGGGGAAUUUUGGACAAUGGGCGAAAGCCUGAUCCAGCAAUGCCGCGUGCAGGAUGAAGGCCUUCGGGUUGUAAACUGCUUUUGUACGGAACGAAAAAGCUUCUCCUAAUACGAGAGGCCCAUGACGGUACCGUAAGAAUAAGCACCGGCUAACUACGUGCCAGCAGCCGCCGUAA
Molecule: ribosomal RNA, 498 nt
Filed under: uncultured bacterium
Lineage: Bacteria
Description: partial 16S ribosomal RNA
Rfam family: Bacterial small subunit ribosomal RNA
Source: RNAcentral